This 253-nucleotide ribosomal RNA is filed under the name uncultured bacterium. RNAcentral's name for it is "partial 16S ribosomal RNA". It matches the Rfam family "Bacterial small subunit ribosomal RNA", at positions 524 to 776 of the family's 1533-position model. The record is from RNAcentral.
UACGGAGGGUGCGAGCGUUGUCCGGAAUCACUGGGCGUAAAGGGCGCGUAGGCGGCGCGGAAAGUCAACGGUGAAAGCUUGGGGCUCAACCCCGAGUCGGCCGUCGAUACUUCCGUGCUCGAGCACUGUAGAGGCAGGUGGAAUUCCGGGUGUAGCGGUGGAAUGCGUAGAGAUCCGGAAGAACACCGGUGGCGAAGGCGAGUCUCUGGGCCGUAACUGACGCUGAGGAGCGAAAGCGUGGGGAGCGAACAGG